RNAcentral lists this unclassified non-coding RNA (317 nucleotides) under uncultured Chaetomium. RNAcentral describes it as "sequence contains ITS1". The stretch from base 1 to 105 matches the Rfam family "5.8S ribosomal RNA", at positions 50 to 154 of the family's 154-position model. The record is from RNAcentral. Lineage: Eukaryota; Fungi; Ascomycota; Sordariomycetes; Sordariales; Chaetomiaceae.
GAAAUGCGAUAAGUAAUGUGAAUUGCAGAAUUCAGUGAAUCAUCGAAUCUUUGAACGCACAUUGCGCCCGCCAGUAUUCUGGCGGGCAUGCCUGUUCGAGCGUCAUCUCAACCAUCAAGCCCCCGGGCUUGUGUUGGGGACCCUGCGGCUGCCCGCACGCCCUGAGCGAGGUGUAAUGCUACUACGCUCGGUGUGGACAGCGAGCGUAGUAGCAUUACACCUCGCUCAGGGCGUGCGGCGUGCUCCGGCCGUUAAACGCGACCUUAACGCAUACCAAGGUUGACCUCGGAUCAGGUAGGAAGACCCGCUGAACUUAA